Molecule: non-coding RNA, 109 nt
Organism: Acanthosepion pharaonis
Lineage: Eukaryota; Metazoa; Mollusca; Cephalopoda; Sepiida; Sepiidae
Source: the annotation of a GenBank genome assembly
UACGGCCGUAUCACGAGCAAACACCCGUUCUCGUACGAUCACCGAAGUUAAGAAACGUCAAGCCUGGUCAGUACUUAGAUGGGCAACCGCUUGGGAAUGCCAGGUGCUU